AUCUCUGUCUUGUUAUUAUUAGUUUAAAAAGAAAGUUUUUAAAAUGAAGAUUUUACAAUUUUCCUUAAUUGUAAUGGCAUUAAGCUUUCUUGGUGUUCAUGCUCAAAUAACACUGAAAGAAUCAGAUCCUGUAACUCUACAGCCAGGACAGUCACAUAAAUUGUCAUGUAAAGCCUCUGGAUUUACAUUCAAGGACUACUACAUGGACUGGGUUCGGCAGCCUUCUGGUAAAGGGCUAGAAUGGGUGGCACGAAUAAGCCAUGGUGGUGGUGGUAGCCAGUAUUAUGCAUCAUCUGUACAGGGAAGAUUCACCAUCAGCAGAGACGAUUCCAACAGCAUGCUGUACUUAACCAUGAACAACCUGCAGACUGCAGACACAGCCGUGUAUUACUGUGCUAGAGAGUCACAGUGA
Polypterus senegalus (gray bichir) is the source of this 412-nucleotide non-coding RNA. The record is from the annotation of a RefSeq genome assembly. Lineage: Eukaryota; Metazoa; Chordata; Cladistia; Polypteriformes; Polypteridae.